CAGGGUUGUUGAAAUCAAAUUUAGGGACUUUACUGACGGGACUCUGGGCUGGCUGCUCUGUUCACUCGUCAGCGCAAGUGGCGUGACCAUGUAAUUGGGGCACGGGGCCGGCGCGGCGCGCUGCGGGCUUGCAGAAUUUUGUUUGUUUGUUUGGCCGCGCGCUGGCGCAGCCACGGGCCGCAGUUACUGGGGCGCGCUGUCGUAACAAGCCGCGCGGUGUGGCCUGCUCAUUGGGGUAGAGGGGGGGUAGUCUUCCCAGAUGUUCUAGUUAGUUGUUUAGUAAAUUUGACUUCAAUAACGAGCUUUUGUUAUGGUAGGCGCGGCAGGGCGCGCGAAUUUAAGCGCAAGUGAGUGGUGACUCGGGGCUCACUCAGGCGGAGGCUAUGCGUCUCACCUGUGGUCACGAGUUGUUAGUUCGUUCGUGAUGUAGGAAUUCAAGCUUUCGGGCGGAAGCUAUGGUCGACGCCAGAGGCCACGAGUCGUUUAAUUUAAGUUAGGUCAUAAUGUAGUCGUCAAGCUCACUCAGGCGGAGGCUAUGCGUCUCACCUGUGGUCACGAGUUGUUAGUUCGUUCGUGAUGUAGGAAUUCAGGCUCACUCAGGCGGAGGCUAUGCGUCUCACCUGUGGUCACGAGUUGUUAGUUCGUUCGUGAUGUAGGAAUUCAGGCUCACUCAGGCGGAGACUAUGCGUCUCACCUGUGGCCACGAGUUGUUUAGUUAGUUCGUUCGUGAUGUAGUUUAAGUUAGGUCAUAAUGUAGUCGUCAAGCUUUCGGGCGGAGGCUAUGGCCCUCGUCAGGGGUCACGCGUCAUAGUUUUUAAAAUGUAAUGUUCGUUCGGGAUUUCAAGGGCAGGAGAGGCCCCUACGUUAUUUUUUUUAAAGUAAUCGAUCAAGAAAGGCUUUUCGGAAAAUGUGAGUAUGGACUUAUCUUUGUUUUAAUUUUAAGUAUUAAUUAUGAUUUGAGGUAUUCGGAAGGACUAGGGAAGUGUUUAGUGAAGUUCUCUCAUUCUCUCUCUUGUAAGGUCGUUCAAUCGUUAAGGAAGUAAAGAGAUUAUUGUUUUAAAUUGUAAUCCCGCUAUUCAAAUGUUCUUUAAAAUGAUGUUGAGUAUUUGACUUUAAGAAUAAAAUAAUUUUAAUUAAGUAUUAUGUUAUUUUGCAAAAUCUCCUUAGUUCAGCUCUCACCAGACAUCCUGUACGGGAUGACGAACCUAUGAUCCUAGGUACAGUAAAGUAUUUUAUGAAGUUAAGACUAGUUGAUGCCAAGCGAGUUGUUUCUAUGUAAAGAGCUACGAUUCUCUCCCCCCUCUGAAGGUGGAUCGUGACAGAAAUGGUGGAGGCGCCGGGUAGGUUCUAUUUCUGGAGAGAGAGAGAGGUAGAUUUUUAUGUUUAUUAUUAAGUUAGUUUCAGCUUCUGAUAGCAGGUUAUUAAGAGUUUACUUGAGGAGAGGAUUACGGAAUUUAAUCUAAGUGGAGGAAGUCUUUGAGAUUUUUUUUUUGACGUAACAGAUGAUUAUUUGAGUAUACUUGUAAGGAUAAAGUUUAUAGUGAUAAGUUGUUUUAAGUCGUUGAAUUUAUUGUAGAUUUAUAUCGGGGAUUAUUACGUGAGGAGAAUACGUUAUAAGUUAAAUGCUUAUUAGAGAUAAUGCAAGUGGUUUAAUUUAAUUGAAGUUCAUUUUAAGAUUGUAGGUUAAGAGAAUUAUAAUUUAAAAUAAAGUUUUUUGUCGUAAAUAGGAAUUAUUUUCAAGAGAAGUUUGUUUUGUUUUCGUGCGCGUAGGAGACGAGACGUACGAAUUAAAUCAGUCGAGGGAAGGAUAAACGUUAGAAAGGAAUUAAAGAGAAAACGAGAGUUUAUGUAAAAGAGAGUUAUAGAAUUUAUAGUGAUGUUUUGUUUUAAUUAGAAAAAUGUUGAGAGUUGUUUCAGAACGACACGUCAGUGGACGUGGCAGAGUGAACACGUGACGGGGAGGUGCUGAGACCUAGCGGAGAACGGAGGAACCGCAAGCGAGGGUUGGCGCACCUGAUGGAAUUCGGUGACGUCACGGGCUCAUACGGAGACGUGGACAGGCCGUGACCUUGUUUUGAUCAGCUGUACGGUAACUUAGCGAUAAGAAAAUAGACUAUUGGUUAAAUAAAUUUAAAUUUAAGUGUGUUUUAGGAGAAGAGGAACUUUCAGUAUGUAAGUAAUUUAUUUUAAGAAGUGUAUGAUGUAUAGGCUAGAAGUGUUUCGUUGUAAGUUGUUUAUGUUUUUGUUAGUUAAAUUCUACCUCGGUUUUAAAAAUAUUUUUUUUGGGAUUUGUAAACAGUAAUAAGGAGGUACACUAUAAAAUCGAUAAGCAUUGAGAAAAAUGGGAAGGCUAGAUUUUGUGUGUAGAGGGAAUUUACUCCAAAAGAACAGAGAGACAAAAUUAAUGUUUUCAUUAGGGCGAGGGACCCUAAGGUGAGGCGUUGUGUCCCUGGGAAGAAAGGGAAUUGUAGCGCAGACCAUAGGAGAUGGGCUGACUACGGAAUUAAGGGUCAGGAGAAUCCUGAGAGUUGUGAGUAAUUGGGGCAGGAGUUCCCCAUGGUAGUACCGAAGUGGCUAUCCUGUAUGGGAUAGGGUACCAUUUCAAUGAAGUUUGUUGGUGGGGUUAGAGCCCCCUGUGUAGUGGGCCUAUAGCAGAUAGGCACUACAGUGAAAUUUUUGGUUAUUUUGUGAGGUAAAUUCCAUGGAGGUUAAGUAAGAUUGGAUUCAGUUAGGAAGGAGGGAAAUGAGAAACAUUGCUGUAGAGAGUUAGUGUACUUGCCUAAUGUGAAAUUGAAUUUUACUAAAUUAAUUUAGGAGAAAGUUUUGUUCGGUAAUUAAAUAAUAAUGGAAGAUAGCUAGAUAAUUAAUUAAUUUUUUUUGAGUAAGGUGUUUUAAGUAAUGAAAUAAAAUAAGGUGAAGUAAUUUGAAUAAUUGGGGAGGAGUUUCUUUAAGAGUUUAGAUAAUUGUUUUUGAAUUUAUUGAGAUAUUCAACCAGUGAAGUUUGAGUGUGAGAGAUACAGUGAGAUUUUAAGGAAAUCGGUUGUUUAUUAAUUAGGACAAAUGAGAUUUUAUGAUUAAGAGUCAGUAAGCAUAGUUAAAAUUUACGACAUGAUAUUUGUUGACAGUUUACAGUUAUUAAGGAGAAAACAGAGUAAUCUAUUUAUUUUUAUUUUAAUGGUUUGAAGAUAAGAUUAUGAAUUUUUUUUGGAAGUUUCUUUGGCAUGUUGGAAUAAUUUUUUUUGAUUUUUAGAAUUUACAGAGAAAAUUUAAUUGAUUUACAUUAGUUUGGAAGUAUGGAGGUUUAGUGUUCGAUUAGCCCUAACUUGAUGGUCGGAUCCCAAAAGAAUGCCGUAAAACCGAUAGCCAUUUGAGAGGAAUGCGGUAGGCGCUUGUGUAGAGAGGGGUUGUGGGAAAACUCCUUGGGACUGAUGGCAGAUCAGGGGCCCUAAAUAGUGUGUGAUGCUGUAAAACCAGUGCAGGGAAAGCCUGGUAUGCUUAAAUUUUUGGGCACAGGUUAUGUAAACCUGGGGUUCCAUGGGAUUUAGUCAUGCUAGCUGCUGUGAGACAUUAAGAUUUCCAGGCUCCAUAGUAAAUUCAAUGUAAAUUUUUGUUUUCUUAAAAUAAUAAAUUUGUUUUUAAUUUAUUUGAGAUAUUUGAUUUGGAACAGUGAAUACAGACCCCGAGGAAUAAGAGUUGUCAUGCUGUGAGAGGAGAAGGUGGUAGGCCUAAAAGGGUACAGGCACCACAGAGGUUAUGUGCAUUGCAUAAUUUAAAUAUAAGGAAACUUGAGAAUUUGAAAUUUUGUUGUUGGUUUGUACACCCAUAAGAAGAGUAUAGGCAGAAUUUUUAUUGUUAUGAGAUGUCUAAUUUAAUUGAAAAGAAGAAAGUUUAAAGAUGCAAGGUAACAUUAUUAUUGUAAUAAUUGAAAGAGAUUAAGAGGUAGAGAGAAAUAGGCAGUUUUUGUUUGUAAGUACUAAAGUUUACAUAUAGAAAUUUAGUAACUAAGAAUGAAUAAUAAGUUAAGUCUAGUGUAAAAGUUUUUUUUAAGUUUGUUAAGUUAAGAGUCACAAGUAAAUUUUUUUUUAGAGAGAAUGUCUUUGAUAGGAAGUAUUAGAAACUUAUGGGAAUUUUAGGGUAACAUAAAUAAUGUAGGUAAUGAAUAAUAAAUAGAUGGUAGGUCUUAAGUUAGGAUUAACAUUUGAAGCAGAAUUUAAUUAAGAAGAAGGAAAAUAAAUAGGCCUAAUGAAAAGAACAAAAAAGGAUUUUAUGGUAAAGCAUUUUUUUUAAGUAAUAAACAAUGAAUAAUAAUGUUGUUUCAGGGUAAUGUGUACUAAUAAUACAAUUUUUUUUUUAGGACCAAAGAACAGGAAUUAUGUAAUUUAAAUUAACAUGUAUUUUUGAAACUGUUACAGAUUCCUUAAGAUGAGCUGAGCAGCAGUCCAGUUUACAAGAUGACAAGAGUUCGAGAGACAAGAUACAAGAUCACUGAAACAAGAGCCAAGACUGAAGAUUCAAGAGAAGAGAAAGCUGGCAGCCAUGGACUUACAAGUGGAGAUUAAUAAGGUUAUGUAAAGUUUUAUUUUUUUAUGGAAGACAGUAACUGGAGUUUUUUUUUGUUAUAAACAUUAUUUACAGAACUUUUUAGGUUAUAGUAAUGUGAUGGAACUAGUGAGUUGUGGUAGCUGUCAAAAAGAACUAAUACCUUAAGUUUAAUUUUUAAAGUUAAUUUUCUUAAUUUACAGAGGGAUUAGUAGUUUUUUUUAAACCUUAUUUAGGUUGGAAUUUAAAUACAAUAGCUUAUUAUAAAUGUGUACGAACAGUUCAAGUUCACAGUACUGAUAGGUAGGUCAGAUGAUCUUAUUGAUUUUGAUGAUUUGUUGUUUUGAGUUGAUUUUUAAGUGUUGUGAAUUAGACAAUGAAAUAGUUCUGAAAACUUAAAUUAUUUCAAGCUAAGAAAUAGUAAAGUUAAUUGUAACUCAAAGGACACCAGAAUUUAAUUUUUUUUUGAAUUAGUAAUGUUUGAAAAUUUUAUACUUUACAAGAAAGGUUAUAAACAAACAGAUCGGAUGGAACAAGGAUGCAGUAAAUCACAAUUUCAUUUAGAAUUAUUGAUUAGCUUUUGAGGUUAUGAAGUAAAAGUAAUUAUAGUUUAAAAGUUUGAAUAAAAAAAUGUUUUUUUUUAAUUUGUUUGAAAUAGAAAGUUUAAAAGUUAAUUAGUCAUGAUCUAGGUGGGUGAUGGGGUGGGAAUUGGCCACUCUUUUUCCCUAUAACCUCCCUAACAUGGCCUUCUAUUACAACUAACAGAAAUAAAGAAGAAGAAAAAUGAAGAAUUAUUAGUUAGAAUGUUUCUUUCAUGAAGAUACCUGAUGAACUUUUACUGUUUGGAAGAAUAGAAGCAAGGUUAGUCAGAUAUUUUUACUCAGAAGAAGAAGAAGAUAAAGCAGUUUUAUGACUCGACAAGCCAGAGAUUGGUGUUUCCCCUCUGCGCUUCUAUUGACUACGUUGUUUACUCUCAUGGGAUAGCUGGUUCGGCACCAUGGAGAGAGAUUGGUGGGCAUUGUGGUUGCCCCCAGAAGAAAAGAAGAGUAGAAGAGGUUAUGGGUGGGUCAUGUGAACUGACCUUCAACCCAGUUACUUCGUGGGGACUAUUUGCUGUAUAGAGAAGAUCAAGACUCAAGAGUUAGGGAAAAUCAUUGGAGGUCAUGUUUCCCUUCCUUAAGUUUUUCCUAUCAAAUUAUUUGCCUGAUUAGAUUAUGCUAAGGGUGGGAUACUUUAUGUUAGCAGUUGAAUUAAUUAAUUUUAUUUUUUUGUGUGUUUGCAUCCUUGCCCAUCGAUUGCAGUUUAGUAGUUAGUUUUGUAUUUGGCAGGCGUGAUGGUAAUGCCUGUUGAUGAUGUUUCAGAAUUGUAAUCUGUUCGUGAUGAGGAUGGCACAACUCCGAAGCAGAUGUGGGGAGAAGUUGUGAGCUGCCCUGGAAGCCAGUCCAGUAGCUGUUGGAGUUGAGUGGUGUUUGCUGAUGGCCAGCCCAGGGAGCUACUCUUCUCGACAACACUGACUUCGAGGAGUUGCACCAACCUUCACGAGAUAAGAGUUUAAUUAAUUGAAACACUGUAAGGACACUUAAUUUUUUUUGAAGAACGAAAGAAGUAUGGUAAUAAACGGAAACCGAAAAAAAAAAAUAAUAAUAAUUAUCAAGAAUUUGCACAUUGUUUAACGAAUACUGAGAAACUAAGAACAGUAAUUUAAUUUGUAAAGAGAGCUUCACUAACAGAACAAUUUUUUUAGAAUUGAGAACUCGAGCCUCUGAAGGUUCCUGUGAGAACAAACCAGAUAAAAGUUUUACAUUUAAUUUUAUGAAUACUUGUUGUUUUAAAAUAAAUCUUAUGCAGAAUCUAGAUGUAUGUUCAGACAGCAAGGAACUAAGAAAAUUAUUAUUUUUGUGAAAUGAGGAAUUUAUAGUUAUGGUUUAAUGGAAAAAGACAAUUUGUAAUUUUGAGGUAGCUCGAUGGGGCUCGAGCUCUGUGAGGGGAGGGUUAUGUCGCGGGUUGAAAUUUUGCAGGGUUGUUGAAAUCAAAUUUAGGGACUUUACUGACGGGACUCUGGGCUGGCUGCUCUGUUCACUCGUCAGCGCAAGUGGCGUGACCAUGUAAUUGGGGCACGGGGCCGGCGCGGCGCGCUGCGGGCUUGCAGAAUUUUGUUUGUUUGUUUGGCCGCGCGCUGGCGCAGCCACGGGCCGCAGUUACUGGGGCGCGCUGUCGUAACAAGCCGCGCGGUGUGGCCUGCACAUUGGGGUAGAGGGGGGGUAGUCUUCCCAGAUGUUCUAGUUAGUUGUUUAGUAAAUUUGACUUCAAUAACGAGCUUUUGUUAUGGUAGGCGCGGCAGGGCGCGCGAAUUUAAGCGCAAGUGAGUGGUGACUCGGGGCUCACUCAGGCGGAGGCUAUGCGUCUCACCUGUGGUCACGAGUUGUUAGUUCGUUCGUGAUGUAGGAAUUCAAGCUUUCGGGCGGAAGCUAUGGUCGACGCCAGAGGCCACGAGUCGUUUAAUUUAAGUUAGGUCAUAAUGUAGUCGUCAAGCUCACUCAGGCGGAGGCUAUGCGUCUCACCUGUGGUCACGAGUUGUUAGUUCGUUCGUGAUGUAGGAAUUCAAGCUUUCGGGCGGAAGCUAUGGUCGACGCCAGAGGCCACGAGUCGUUUAAUUUAAGUUAGGUCAUAAUGUAGUCGUCAAGCUUUCGGGCGGAGGCUAUGGCCCUCGUCAGGGGUCACGCGUCAUAGUUUUUAAAAUGUAAUGUUCGUUCGGGAUUUCAAGGGCAGGAGAGGCCCCUACGUUAUUUUUUUUAAAGUAAUCGAUCAAGAAAGGCUUUUCGGAAAAUGUGAGUAUGGACUUAUCUUUGUUUUAAUUUUAAGUAUUAAUUAUGAUUUGAGGUAUUCGGAAGGACUAGGGAAGUGUUUAGUGAAGUUCUCUCAUUCUCUCUCUUGUAAGGUCGUUCAAUCGUUAAGGAAGUAAAGAGAUUAUUGUUUUAAAUUGUAAUCCCGCUAUUCAAAUGUUCUUUAAAAUGAUGUUGAGUAUUUGACUUUAAGAAUAAAAUAAUUUUAAUUAAGUA
Molecule: long non-coding RNA, 7598 nt
Organism: Bacillus rossius redtenbacheri
Lineage: Eukaryota; Metazoa; Arthropoda; Insecta; Phasmatodea; Bacillidae
Exons: 2
Source: RefSeq, a predicted model, not a curated record